UGCCAGACUCCUACGGGAGGCAGCAGUGAGGAAUAUUGGUCAAUGGGAGAGAUCCUGAACCAGCCAAGCCGCGUGAGGGAAGACGGCCCUAUGGGUUGUAAACCUCUUUUGUCGGAGAACAAAACCCGGGACGUGUCCCGGACUGCGUGUAUCCGAAGAAAAAGCAUCGGCUAACUCCGUGCCAGCAGCCGCGGUAAUACGGAGGAUGCGAGCGUUAUCCGGAUUUAUUGGGUUUAAAGGGUGCGUAGGCGGGCUGUUAAGUCAGCGGUCAAAUGUCGGGGCUCAACCCCGGCCUGCCGUUGAAACUGGCGGCCUCGAGUGGGCGAGAAGUAUGCGGAAUGCGUGGUGUAGCGGUGAAAUGCAUAGAUAUCACGCAGAACUCCGAUUGCGAAGGCAGCAUACCGGCGCCCUACUGACGCUGAGGCACGAAAGCGUGGGUAUCGAACAGGAUUAGAUACAU
Molecule: ribosomal RNA, 460 nt
Filed under: uncultured bacterium
Lineage: Bacteria
Description: bacterial SSU rRNA
Rfam family: Bacterial small subunit ribosomal RNA
Source: RNAcentral